This 2279-nucleotide long non-coding RNA is filed under the name Sus scrofa (pig). Its description in RNAcentral is "lncRNA (ENSSSCG00000047438.1)". The record is from RNAcentral. Lineage: Eukaryota; Metazoa; Chordata; Mammalia; Artiodactyla; Suidae.
CUCCCUGGCAGCAUAUGGAGGUUCUCAGGCUAGGGGUCGAAUCAGAGCUACAGCUGCCAGCCCAUAUCACAGCCACAGCAAUGCCAGAUCCAAGCCACGUCUGCGACCUACACCACAGCUUACGGCAAUGCCAGAUCGCCAACCCAAUGAGCGAGGCCAUGGAUCGAACCCGCAACCUCACAGUUCCUAGUCAGAUUCGUUUCAGCUGCGCCAAGACGGGAACUCCACAGUGCUGUAUCCUUAACCCACUGCACCACCAGUUUCUGACGUCCAACCAAGUGGUUCAGUUACUAUUUUUUUUUUCUUUUUACAGUUGCAGCUGUGGCACAUGGACGUUCCUGGGCUAGGGGUCAAAUUGGAACUACAGCUGCCAGCCUACACACAGCCACAGCACCACUGGAUCCAAGCCACAUCUGUGACCUACACUGCAGCUGGCAGCAAUGCCUGAUCCUUAACCGACUGAGUGAGGCCAGGGAUCAAACCCACACCCUGCGGACACUGUUGGGUUCUCAACCCACCGAGCCACAGCAGGAACUCCAAAGUGGUUCAGCCAUACAGAUUCUUUUCCAUUAUGGUCUAUUACAGGAUAUUGAGUAUAGUUCCCUGUACUACACAGGAGGACUUUGUUGUUUACCUAUUUUAUACAUAGUAGGUUGUUUCUGCUAAAUGUAUUCUAAUUUAUCCUUCCCCCUUUGGUAAUUACAAGUUUGUUUUCUAUGUCUGUGAGUCUGCUUCUGUUUUGUAAAUAAGUUCAUUUGAAUCACUUUUUAGGAUUCCACAUAUAGUGAUAGCAUAUGGUAUUUGUCUUUCUCUGUCUAGCUUACCUCACUCCGUAUGAUCUUCUCUAGGUCCAUCCAUGUUGCUGCAAACGGCACUAUUUCAUCCUUUUUUAAGGCUGAGUCAUUAAACUUCCAUUUCAGGGUCGGUUUCCCAGGACCACUUCCAGUACCAAAUGCUUUGGACUGAGAUCGCUGUGAACAGGCGCUGAGGCAGAGGGUUGUGUGUUGAAAGUUUGUCAGGGAGUGUUUCCAGGGGACACACCUGUCUAGAAGCAAGGAUGGCAGGAAUGGCGGAGGGAGAAUCUGGGAAAACUGUCACUGUGGUGAGCUGGGGUGGGUGGGAACCAGCGACAGGGGACAUGCUCCGGGAGAUGUAUUUCUGGCACUAGGGAGGUGAGAGGGCUAACAGCAACAAGAAGACAAUGGCACUGAUGCUGCAGAACACCGGUGAUGUGGUGGAAAGAGCAAACAGGCCCCGGAUGAGAUAAGGAGUCGGGCUCCCAUUCUGUGGCGUGGAUUGGGGCAGACACGUUGACAGGCUGGAGCGGCAGUGGCUGCUUCCCGAUUAUGCUGGCUGCCCCCUAGACCAGGACAGUGGCACUGAGCUGCAGCCAGCAGCUCUCCUGGCAGUUCGGGUCAGCAGUGUGGCUUUGGUACUGGUUCUGGAAGCUCAGGCCAGCUUCAUUUUCUCAACCCUCGCAAGGAUUCUGCAGUUGAACACUGGGCAAUUCCAACCACGUCUGUCUGAUUUCAAAAGCCAAGUUCUGUCCUCAACACCAUGUGGUGACUGGGAGAACUGAGCUUUCCUACCCAGAAUGAACUAAAUAAAAGGGAGCACACAUGGCUGGAGAAGAGGGCCGUGGGUAAGGAAAGGAGGCAGUGCAAAAAAUAAAAGCAGCUAUUUGGAGGUAAAAUACCAGGGCUCAAGUCCCUAACUCUACACCAUAUGAGCUGUGUGAUGUCUGGCAAGCUACUCAACCUCUCUGUGCUCGGUUUAGGAGUGAGCUCUCAGAAUCUCCCGCUCCUGACUCCAAUCUUUGGUUCUGUUUGAUGGAGAGUGAAGUUGCUUCUUGCCUCAUGUUUGCAAAACGGCUUUUCACAGCUCUGGCCACGGUGUCCUCCCCUAACUGUGUCAAGACAGGAAGAAAAGACAGACAGUGGGUGGGAAAGAGGGCUCUUUAAUUCACAGGCAGCUGUCUCCAGAUACGCUUCAGCAAAUGUGUCCUCAAGUCUCCUUGGUCAGGACCAGGGACAUGGUCACUGGCAGUUUUGUUGGAGUCGGAACAGACCACGCUUACCACUAUCUUGGAGCUUUUUUUGGGCAGUCUCUCUCCUUAGAAUGUUCUUCCUCCAGAGGUGUUUUUUGUUUUUUUUUUUUUUUUUUUUCUUUUUUUUUUGUCGUUUUAGGGCUGCACCUGCAGCAUAUGAAAGUUCCCAGGCUAGGGGUCCAAUCAGAGCUGCAGCUGCUGGCCUACACCACAGCCACAGCAAUGCCAGAUC